GCGAGUUCAACUCUCUAUAACCAUUGUGAACGAACUGCUAUGUUGCUUCGGCAGCGCAGGCUCCAGGGCUCGCCAGCCUCGGGGCCUCCUGCCGACAGAACGUAAACUCUUGUCAGCACUGUAUCUCUGAGUGACUUAUUCAAUAAGUUA
RNAcentral lists this unclassified non-coding RNA (150 nucleotides) under uncultured Ascomycota. RNAcentral's name for it is "sequence contains ITS1". Lineage: Eukaryota; Fungi; Ascomycota. The record is from RNAcentral.